GUUUUGUCCAUUCUUGCACUUUGAAAUGCCACAUCCAACAUAAGUAGUUUUGCCCCAUAUCACACCAAGGUAGUGGCCACAUUCAUCUCGGACACAUUUGUUUUGCUGGUAGUCAUAGAAUUCCUUCUCGGUGACCCAGUAUUUGGUAGCGGCUGCACCGGUCAUGCCAUCACCAGAGGCCAAGUUCUCGCCGUAAGGCCCCAUUGAGUGCUCCAUUUGGCAGUCCUCGAUUCUUUUGUCGGCAUAAGCUUGAGCGUACUCGGCUAUGGUCUCGUUCCAUUUGAGUGGUCCAUUGCCAACCUCGGCACGAGCUAUGUUGUGUUCCCUGAUGAAGCCAUCAAUCUCUUCUUUGGGUAGGAUUGCGGCGACAUGGGUCAUGAUGAUUGCAAUGGUGAAGAUGCCCAAAAUAAGCUUGACGUUGAACGCCAUUUUGUAUCUCGAUAUGGGGUCGGUUUUGUUGUAUGGUAGAGGACGUUGAAUUGAUAGCUGUUGGUUUGAAAGGAGGAAUGCAGAUAGGGUUAUAUUUAUAGAGACAAAAUAAUAGUAGGGUGUCAAAAAUAGUCCUUAAGAGAUGGGAGGUUGCAUACAUUUCGAUUCUAUAUAUAGAUAUAGCGGUAGAGGACGGGUAAAAAAAGAGAGAAUAGAAUAGACUGACUUACACUAAUUAAGAAUUGACAAACUACUUAAUAUUACAGUCUAGUGAUAUUGAUCUUUAUUUGUAAUUGAGAGAUUUUAGGUUUGAUUCUCGCUAAAGACAAAUCCAAACUAAAUUAAUAUGAUACCCAUCCUCACUCUUGAGUGUAGAUAAUAUCCAAUGUAUUAAUUUUUUUAUGAGAUUAACAAAAAAAAAAAAAGUUAUGAGAUUGGCAAACAAUAGAAAAAAUAGAAUUUGGUUUGGCUCACUAAAUUUUUUUAUCUGGCAUGUUUUUUGGUUUCCUUUUGCCUGUCUGGAGUAUUUCAAGUGGUUUACCUAGUUAAGGAUUUUUCUGAUACCUUCCCUUAUAAAAAUGUUCUGCUAAUGUACUUAUUCUGUUGGAUAAAAACCCACCUAUGUAUAAACAUCCAAUAAAAACCCAAAAUUUAAAUAAAUUGCCACAUAAAAAAAAAGUAACAUAUUAAUAUAAGAUUUUUACAAUUUAUGCCACAACAUUCUAUAAUUGUUUUUGACACACCCCGACCGACAACAAUCUUACUUAAAACCUGGAGGGGCGCAAAACAGAAAACGUGAGUGGGCAAAAACAAACGUUUUACAAAAUCAUUUCAUUUAUCAACAUACUAACCCCUCGCUGUAAAACAUAUAUUAAUUUCCCAGAAUCAAGAUGUAAGCAUAUACAUAUAUAACUGAAAUCAUAUUAAAUCAGUUCAUGCUUCACAUAAUCAUAUUCAUAUGCAUGUCAUGCCAAAGUAUAACAAAGUAAGCUAUCCAGGUAAGUUUAAUUUCAUAGAAAUAUGAUAUGUUAGCCGGAACUCCUGUCGUAGUCUGUACGGCUGAAUUCAUAGCUCAAACUCAAUCUAGCCGGAAUCACUACUAUGACCUAUACGGCAAUAUACUGCACAUAAGUCGGAACCGCUGGAAAGGGUCUGUACGACAAGGUUGGGUGUAAUACAGUUAUGCUCAAUUCUACUUUCUCAAUACUAGUUGUGCGAUAAUACGUUAGUCACCUAUGAGUCGGAACCAUCUAUAGUGGUCUGUACAACAAGACUGUGCACCUAAAUUGGAUCCAAUGUGAGCAUAUGGUGCGGGAGGUGACAUAAUAUAAGAAACAAUGAAAUUUUAUCUUGAUAAUUAAAUAGGCAAAUGAUUUCGGAUUGAAUUAAAUUUUUGCAAGGAUGAUUUAUAAAUCGAGACUUACAAAAUAGAUGGUUCGGAUCGUUAAAAUUCGACGUGGAGUGGACCCCACAUCUAAUCCCUAUUUUUUGAAAAAAAAAUAGAAAUUCAUUUGCAUAAAGGGCAUGAAUUGUUAUUAAUUAAAUAAACUUGUUUAAUAUUAUGCUAUUAAUAUAACAAUACUUAGUUAAUUAUUAAAUUAAAUUUUUUUUUCAUUUAUUAGUUAUCUUGCCCAACGACGCUCUCCGUCGGCCAACGAGAUAAAAUAAUUAUUUUUCUUCUGAUAAGGGGUUACUAACCAUACUAGUAAAGCGAUGUCUAUCGGGCAUCUGCAGUCAACACAAACUUACAUGAUGGAGGUUUGUCGCUUUGUCCACUAGACAAGACCUUGUUGCCCUGACUAAAAAUUUGUAUCCGCCGACAAAAAUGUCUUACGACGGCUCUUGGGCGACGAUUUCUUCCCGAUGGAGUUCCGUUGCCUUAUCUUUUGCUUGACGAACGUUGUCCUUAAGAGACGAAUUUUGUUCGUCUCCUAAGUUUUUUUUUUUUUUUUUUUUUGGGUAGUGGUUGGGUCUCGAUCGUGUUCAGGUGGAUUUAGAUUCAUACGUUCCUAUUAACAUAAUUAAUGUCAAAGCACAACCUUCUUGGAGAAUUAUGCAUGUCAACCAAGAUAUCAAUUUCCUCAAGUUUUUACAACUAUCGUUCACACGUCUUCCGAAAAGUGAAUAUGGUAAAUGGUGCAAUGGCGGCAAUAAAGCAACAUUAUCAUCAUAAUUGUACUUGGUUCUAACAAUUUUCUAGUAAUAACGUUAAAAGAUAGAUGUACUAUGAUUAUAUGUUUGUAAAGGUCCAUAGAGAAUCCUCGCUGUAACUUCAGCUUGUUAAAAAACAUUACCCAAAAAAAAAAUGGUUAAUCAUUUUUUUUUUAUUUUUCUGUCACCUCUCACCAUAUACAGCAACAUGAAUGUAUUCGUAUAUAGCAAUAGAAACCAACAUCUGUCGCCAUCCCCCCCUUAAGACCAAAGGCAUUAUUUAUAUACAAUAGUUUCUAGUAGGGGCGCUCGUCGUCCUGGUAAGAAGGAUCGUAGUUGCAAAUGACAUAGUUUUGUCCAUUCUUGCACUUUGAAAUGCCACAUCCAACAUAAGUAGUUUUGCCCCAUAUCACACCAAGGUAGUGGCCACAUUCAUCUCGGACACAUUUGUUUUGCUGGUAGUCAUAGAAUUCCUUCUCGGUGACCCAGUAUUUGGUAGCGGCUGCACCGGUCAUGCCAUCACCGGAG
Molecule: long non-coding RNA, 3108 nt
Filed under: Malus domestica (apple)
Lineage: Eukaryota; Viridiplantae; Streptophyta; Magnoliopsida; Rosales; Rosaceae
Description: long non-coding RNA (MDOM_LNC009323)
Source: RNAcentral